Molecule: ribosomal RNA, 377 nt
Filed under: uncultured organism
Description: partial 16S ribosomal RNA
Rfam family: Bacterial small subunit ribosomal RNA
Source: RNAcentral
GUAGGUGGGCAAGCGUUGGUCCGGAAUUAUUGGGCGUAAAGCGCGCGCAGGGCGGUCCUUUAAGUCUGACUGUGUAAAGCCCACGGCUCAACCGUGGAGGGUCAUUGGAAACUGGGGGACUUGAGUACAGAAGAGGAAAGCGGAAUUCCAAGUGUAGCGGUGAAAUGCGUAGAGAUUUGGAGGAACACCAGUGGCGAAGGCGGCUUUCUGGUCUGUAACUGACGCUGAGGCGCGAAAGCGUGGGGAGCAAACAGGAUUAGAUACCCUGGUAGUCCACGCCGUAAACGAUGAGUGCUAAGUGUUAGGGGGUUUCCGCCCCUUAGUGCUGCAGCUAACGCAUUAAGCACUCCGCCUGGGGAGUACGGCCGCAAAGGCUG